UUACACUGUCUCCCACUUCUAAUCAGUGAAACUGAUCCCCCCGUGAAGAAGCGGGGAUAAACUUAUAAGACGAGAAGACCCCAUGGAGCUUUAAACUCAGUACCAAUCAUCUAUAACUACACCACAAUAACCCGGUGACCCUGGCUACUAGUUUUAGGUUGGGGUGACCACGGAGCAUAAUAAAACCUCCAUGUUGAAAAACUUCCUCUAAUCCAAGAGUGACAACUCUAAGAAUCAAAAACUGACAUACAUUGACCCAAAUAUUUUGAUCAACGAACCAAGUUACCCUGGGGAUAACAGCGCAAUCCAUUUCAAGAGCUCCUAUCGACAAAUGGGUUUACGACCUCGAUGUUGGAUCAGGGUAUCCCAGUGGUGCAGCCACUACUAAAGGUUCGUUUGUUCAACGAUUAAAACCCUACGUGAUCUGAGUUCAGAC
This 436-nucleotide ribosomal RNA is filed under the name Elachistocleis cesarii. RNAcentral describes it as "partial 16S ribosomal RNA". It matches the Rfam family "Bacterial large subunit ribosomal RNA", at positions 2011 to 2616 of the family's 2925-position model. The record is from RNAcentral. Lineage: Eukaryota; Metazoa; Chordata; Amphibia; Anura; Microhylidae.